GCUGUCAAUGCACUUCUCGAGCUCCUCCAGCCGCAGUUUGAUUUUUCCUUUCCUUGUGUUAGCUACUGAAUUUUCAUUUGCACUCUAGCUCUGCACAGCUUGAGUGACUUAUGUAUUCUUUUCCCCUCUUGUAAAAAUUUCUUCUUUUUCAGCCAUUUCUAUGAGGAAGGCCAGAUUUCCACUGCUUUACUGAAGAAGGAAAGAUCAAAUGGUCUUUCUGAAGCUCUUCCUACUUCCAGUUUCUAAUUCUCUCACUCAGCUCUCAUGGGUUCAAAAGUAUCCCCGGAGCUGAGGUCAAGGUGUAUAUAAAGAAUAAGAAUGGAAAGAGCUGCCCACAUUCAAAGAAAGAGCUCAAAAUAAAAUUUCUGGUGUUAAUAUGAACCUUGUUUAU
Molecule: long non-coding RNA, 391 nt
Filed under: Zonotrichia albicollis (white-throated sparrow)
Lineage: Eukaryota; Metazoa; Chordata; Aves; Passeriformes; Passerellidae
Description: lncRNA (ENSZALG00000011457.1)
Source: RNAcentral